CAAACUGGAGAUGGCGACCGGCGCACGGGUGAGUAACACGUAUCCAACCUGCCGAUAACUACGGGGAUAGCCUUUCGAAAGAAAGAUUAAUACCCGAUGGCAUAAUAGAACCGCAUGGUUUGAUUAUUAAAGAAUUUCGGUUAUCGAUGGGGAUGCGUUCCAUUAGGCAGUUGGUGGGGUAACGGCCCACCAAACCUUCGAUGGAUAGGGGUUCUGAGAGGAAGGUCCCCCACAUUGGAACUGAGACACGGUCCAAACUCCUACGGGAGGCAGCAUG
Molecule: ribosomal RNA, 277 nt
Filed under: uncultured bacterium
Lineage: Bacteria
Description: partial 16S ribosomal RNA
Rfam family: Bacterial small subunit ribosomal RNA
Source: RNAcentral